Long non-coding RNA from Leopardus geoffroyi (Geoffroy's cat), 522 nucleotides. RefSeq lists it as uncharacterized. The record is from RefSeq and is a predicted model, not a curated record. The transcript has 2 exons. NCBI's taxonomy places the organism in Eukaryota, Metazoa, Chordata, Mammalia, Carnivora, Felidae.
UCUACUGUUCCCAAGUUCCUAUCUCCUGUCCGGACCUCAGCCCUGAACUCCAAAUGUGUAUAUCCAACUGUCUACCUGACAUUGCCCCUGGGAUGUCACAUAAGCACUGCAGACCUGUUAUUCCAGCUACUCUUCCCCCACUGCUCCCCGCCUCAGUAAAGAGUGCUACCAGUGGUCCAGGUGCUUGUGUCAUAAACCCUGGAGCCAUCUUGCAGCCCCUCCCCUCUCCCUCAUGCACACCCACGCACACCCCCACGGUACUAGAAUAUUAAUCAGCCUUAAAAAGGAGGGAAGCUCUGACACAUGCUGCAAUAUGGAUGAGCCUUAAAGACAGUGCUCUUCUGCAGCCAGCCCACAGAGACCAGCUGCAAACCUUGAGAUUACUUUAAGGGUGACCUUACCAACAGGCACAGGGAAGAUCACGACUUUUGUGGAGAAAGGAAGUCCAUAAACCACACAAGGCUUUCCUGUAAGUGACAACUCAUCCAUGAAUAAAGAAUCACGUAUAACAUUUGUUAUGGC